AUACGUAGGGGGCGAGCGUUAUCCGGAUUUAUUGGGCGUAAAGCGUGUGUAGGCGGUUUGUUAAGUUUAAGAUUAAAGCCCGAGGCUUAACCUCGGUUCGUCUUAAAAACUGGCAGACUUGAGUGCAGUAGAGGCAAGUGGAAUUUCUAGUGUAGCGGUUAAAUGCGUAGAUAUUAGAAGGAACACCAGUGGCGAAGGCGGCAUGCUGGGCGGUUACUGACGCUGAGCCACAAAAGCGUGGGGAGCAAAUAGGAUUAGAUACCCUAGUAGUCCACGCCGUAAACGAUGAGUACUAAGUGUCGGGUAACCGGUGCUGAAGUUAACGCAUUAAGCGCCCCGCCUGGGGAGUACGGCCGCAAGGCUAAAACUCAAAGGAAUUGACGGGG
This 386-nucleotide ribosomal RNA is filed under the name uncultured bacterium. RNAcentral's name for it is "partial 16S ribosomal RNA". It matches the Rfam family "Bacterial small subunit ribosomal RNA", at positions 523 to 918 of the family's 1533-position model. The record is from RNAcentral.